This 459-nucleotide ribosomal RNA is filed under the name uncultured bacterium. RNAcentral's name for it is "SSU rRNA". It matches the Rfam family "Bacterial small subunit ribosomal RNA", at positions 26 to 518 of the family's 1533-position model. The record is from RNAcentral.
AGAAUCAGCGCUGGCGGCGUGCCUAACACAUGCAAGUCGAACGAGAAAGUGGAGCAAUCCAUGAGUAAAGUGGCGACCGGGUGAGUAACACGUGACUAACCUACCUUCGAGUGGGGGAUAACAUCGGGAAACCGAUGCUAAUACCGCAUAACAUCGCAAGAUCAAAGCAGCAAUGCGCUGGAAGAGGGGGUCGCGGCUGAUUAGCUAGUUGGCGGGGUAACGGCCCACCAAGGCGAAGAUCGGUAGCCGGCCUGAGAGGGCGCACGGCCACACUGGAACUGAAACACGGUCCAGACUCCUACGGGAGGCAGCAGUGGGGAAUUUUGCGCAAUGGGGGAAACCCUGACGCAGCAACGCCGCGUGGAGGAUGAAGCCCUUGGGGUGUAAACUCCUUUCGACCAAGACGAUAAUGACGGUACUGGUGGAAGAAGCACCGGCUAACUCUGCGCCAGCAGCCGC